CCUACGGGGGGCAGCAGUGAGGAAUAUUGGUCAAUGGACGAGAGUCUGAACCAGCCAAGUAGCGUGAAGGAUGACUGCCCUAUGGGUUGUAAACUUCUUUUAUAUGGGAAUAAAACGUUCCACGUGUGGGAUUUUGUAUGUACCAUAUGAAUAAGGAUCGGCUAACUCCGUGCCAGCAGCCGCGGUAAUACGGAGGAUCCGAGCGUUAUCCGGAUUUAUUGGGUUUAAAGGGAGCGUAGGUGGAUUGUUAAGUCAGUUGUGAAAGUUUGCGGCUCAACCGUAAAAUUGCAGUUGAAACUGGCAGUCUUGAGUACAGGAGAGGUGGGCGGAAUUCGUGGUGUAGCGGUGAAAUGCUUAGAUAUCACGAAGAACUCCGAUUGCGAAGGCAGUUCACUGGACUGCAACUGACACUGAGGCUCGAAAGUGUGGGUAUCAAACAGGAUAAGAUACCCGUGUAGUC
Molecule: ribosomal RNA, 460 nt
Filed under: uncultured bacterium
Lineage: Bacteria
Description: partial 16S ribosomal RNA
Rfam family: Bacterial small subunit ribosomal RNA
Source: RNAcentral